RNAcentral lists this ribosomal RNA (913 nucleotides) under uncultured organism. RNAcentral's name for it is "bacterial SSU rRNA". It matches the Rfam family "Bacterial small subunit ribosomal RNA", at positions 583 to 1501 of the family's 1533-position model. The record is from RNAcentral.
AUAAGUCAGGGGUGAAAGUCGGUUGCUCAACAAUCGAAUUGCCUUUGAAACUGUGUGGCUCGAGUAUAGAUGAGGUAGNCGGAAUGUGUAGUGUAGCGGUGAAAUGCAUAGAUAUUACACAGAACCCCAAUUGCGAAGGCAGCUUACCAAACUAUUACUGACGCUGAAGCACGAAAGCGUGGGUAGCGAACAGGAUUAGAUACCCUGGUAGUCCACGCCGUAAACUAUGCUCACUCGCUGUUGGCAAUAGAUCGUCAGCGGCUAAGGGAAACCGAUAAGUGAGCCACCUGGGGAGUACGAUCGCAAGAUUGAAACUCAAAGGAAUUGACGGGGGCCCGCACAAGCGGAGGAACAUGUGGUUUAAUUCGAUGAUACGCGAGGAACCUUACCUGGGCUUAAAUGUAGAGUGCAUAAAGUGGAAACAUUUUUUUCCUUCGGGACUCUUUACAAGGUGCUGCAUGGUUGUCGUCAGCUCGUGCCGUGAGGUGUCGGGUUAAGUCCCAUAACGAGCGCAACCCCUAUCGUUAGUUACCAGCACGUAGUGGUGGGGACUCUAGCGAAACUGCCGGUGUAAACCGUGAGGAAGGUGGGGAUGACGUCAAAUCAGCACGGCCCUUAUGUCCAGGGCUACACACGUGUUACAAUGGUCGGUACAGUGGGCAGCCACAUAGCAAUAUGGAGCUAAUCUCAAAAGCCGAUCUCAGUUCGGAUUGGAGUCUGCAACCCGACUCCAUGAAGGUGGAUUCGCUAGUAAUCGCGCAUCAGCCAUGGCGCGGUGAUACGUUCCCGGGCAUUGUACACACCGCCCGUCAAGCCAUGGAAGUUUGGGGUGCACUGAAGUUCGUAACCACGCAAGGAGCGACACUAGGGGUAAAACCAAAUGANCUGGGGCUAAGUUCGUAANCCAGUAACC